GAUGAGCGCUGGCGGCGUGCCUAAUACAUGCAAGUCGAGCGAACGGACGAGAAGCUUGCUUCUCUGAUGUUAGCGGCGGACGGGUGAGUAACACGUGGAUAACCUACCUAUAAGACUGGGAUAACUUCGGGAAACCGGAGCUAAUACCGGAUAAUAUUUUGAACCGCAUGGUUCAAAAGUGAAAGACGGUCUUGCUGUCACUUAUAGAUGGAUCCGCGCUGCAUUAGCUAGUUGGUAAGGUAACGGCUUACCAAGGCAACGUUGCAUAGCCGACCUGAGAGGGUGAUCGGCCACACUGGAACUGAGACACGGUCCAGACUCCUACGGGAGGCAGCAGUAGGGAAUCUUCCGCAAUGGGCGAAAGCCUGACGGAGCAACGCCGCGUGAGUGAUGAAGGUCUUCGGAUCGUAAAACUCUGUUAUUAGGGAAGAACAUAUGUGUAAGUAACUGUGCACAUCUUGACGGUACCUAAUCAGAAAGCCACGGCUAACUACGUG
RNAcentral lists this ribosomal RNA (497 nucleotides) under uncultured bacterium. Its description in RNAcentral is "partial 16S ribosomal RNA". It matches the Rfam family "Bacterial small subunit ribosomal RNA", at positions 28 to 507 of the family's 1533-position model. The record is from RNAcentral.